This 301-nucleotide ribosomal RNA is filed under the name uncultured bacterium. RNAcentral's name for it is "partial 16S ribosomal RNA". It matches the Rfam family "Bacterial small subunit ribosomal RNA", at positions 509 to 807 of the family's 1533-position model. The record is from RNAcentral.
CAGUCGCCGCGGUAAUACGAAGGGGGCUAGCGUUGUUCGGAUUUACUGGGCGUAAAGCGCACGUAGGCGGAUCGAUCAGUCAGGGGUGAAAGCCCGGAGCUCAACUCCGGAAUUGCCUUUAAGACUGCAGAGCUAGCAGGUGAGAGAGGUGAGUGGAAUUCCGAGUGUAGAGGUGAAAUUCGUAGAUAUUCGGAAGAACACCAGUGGCGAAGGCGGCUCACUGGACGACUGUUGACGCUGAGGUGCGAAAGCGUGGGAAGCAAACUGGAUUAGAUACCCGCGUAGUCCCUGUCUCUUAUAC